RNAcentral lists this ribosomal RNA (1536 nucleotides) under Enterobacter kobei. RNAcentral's name for it is "bacterial SSU rRNA". It matches the Rfam family "Bacterial small subunit ribosomal RNA". Lineage: Bacteria; Pseudomonadati; Pseudomonadota; Gammaproteobacteria; Enterobacterales; Enterobacteriaceae. The record is from RNAcentral.
UUGAAGAGUUUGAUCAUGGCUCAGAUUGAACGCUGGCGGCAGGCCUAACACAUGCAAGUCGAACGGUAGCACAGAGAGCUUGCUCUCGGGUGACGAGUGGCGGACGGGUGAGUAAUGUCUGGGAAACUGCCUGAUGGAGGGGGAUAACUACUGGAAACGGUAGCUAAUACCGCAUAACGUCGCAAGACCAAAGAGGGGGACCUUCGGGCCUCUUGCCAUCAGAUGUGCCCAGAUGGGAUUAGCUAGUAGGUGGGGUAACGGCUCACCUAGGCGACGAUCCCUAGCUGGUCUGAGAGGAUGACCAGCCACACUGGAACUGAGACACGGUCCAGACUCCUACGGGAGGCAGCAGUGGGGAAUAUUGCACAAUGGGCGCAAGCCUGAUGCAGCCAUGCCGCGUGUAUGAAGAAGGCCUUCGGGUUGUAAAGUACUUUCAGCUGGGAGGAAGGUGUUGUGGUUAAUAACCACAACAAUUGACGUUACCCGCAGAAGAAGCACCGGCUAACUCCGUGCCAGCAGCCGCGGUAAUACGGAGGGUGCAAGCGUUAAUCGGAAUUACUGGGCGUAAAGCGCACGCAGGCGGUCUGUCAAGUCGGAUGUGAAAUCCCCGGGCUCAACCUGGGAACUGCAUUCGAAACUGGCAGGCUAGAGUCUUGUAGAGGGGGGUAGAAUUCCAGGUGUAGCGGUGAAAUGCGUAGAGAUCUGGAGGAAUACCGGUGGCGAAGGCGGCCCCCUGGACAAAGACUGACGCUCAGGUGCGAAAGCGUGGGGAGCAAACAGGAUUAGAUACCCUGGUAGUCCACGCCGUAAACGAUGUCGACUUGGAGGUUGUGCCCUUGAGGCGUGGCUUCCGGAGCUAACGCGUUAAGUCGACCGCCUGGGGAGUACGGCCGCAAGGUUAAAACUCAAAUGAAUUGACGGGGGCCCGCACAAGCGGUGGAGCAUGUGGUUUAAUUCGAUGCAACGCGAAGAACCUUACCUACUCUUGACAUCCAGAGAACUUAGCAGAGAUGCUUUGGUGCCUUCGGGAACUCUGAGACAGGUGCUGCAUGGCUGUCGUCAGCUCGUGUUGUGAAAUGUUGGGUUAAGUCCCGCAACGAGCGCAACCCUUAUCCUUUGUUGCCAGCGGUCCGGCCGGGAACUCAAAGGAGACUGCCAGUGAUAAACUGGAGGAAGGUGGGGAUGACGUCAAGUCAUCAUGGCCCUUACGAGUAGGGCUACACACGUGCUACAAUGGCGCAUACAAAGAGAAGCGACCUCGCGAGAGCAAGCGGACCUCAUAAAGUGCGUCGUAGUCCGGAUUGGAGUCUGCAACUCGACUCCAUGAAGUCGGAAUCGCUAGUAAUCGUAGAUCAGAAUGCUACGGUGAAUACGUUCCCGGGCCUUGUACACACCGCCCGUCACACCAUGGGAGUGGGUUGCAAAAGAAGUAGGUAGCUUAACCUUCGGGAGGGCGCUUACCACUUUGUGAUUCAUGACUGGGGUGAAGUCGUAACAAGGUAACCGUAGGGGAACCUGCGGUUGGAUCACCUCCUU